GAGCGGCAAGUUAGGUAGUAAUACUUGACCUAGAGCGGCGCACGGGUGCGUAACGCGUAUGCAACCUACCUUUUACUGGGGGAUAGCCCGGAGAAAUCUGGAUUAAUACCCCAUAGUACCUAAGGAUCGAUUGGUCUUUAGUUUAAAGAUUUAUCGGUAAAAGAUGGGCAUGCGUCUGAUUAGCUAGUUGGCGGGGUAACGGCCCACCAAGGCGACGAUCAGUAGGGGUUCUGAGAGGAAGGUCCCCCACACUGGCACUGAGAUACGGGCCAGACUCCUACGGGAGGCAGCAGUAGGGAAUAUUGGGCAAUGGUCGCAAGACUGACCCAGCCAUGCCGCGUGCAGGAAGACGGCCCUCUGGGUUGUAAACUGCUUUUAUCUGGGAAGAAAAAGUCCAUGCGUGGAAAAUUGCCGGUACCAGAUGAAUAAGCACCGGCUAACUCCGUGCCAGCAGCCGCGGUAAUACGGAGGGUGCAAGCGUUGUCCGGAUUUAUUGGGUUUAAAGGGUGCGUAGGCGGCUGAAUAAGUCAGCGGUGAAAGACUUUGGCUUAACCGGAGCAGUGCCGUUGAUACUGUUUAGCUUGAGUGUUGGAGGGGUACAUGGAAUUGAUGGUGUAGCGGUGAAAUGCAUAGAUACCAUCAGGAACACCGAUAGCGAAGGCAUUGUACUGGCCAACAACUGACGCUGAGGCACGAAAGUGUGGGGAUCGAACAGGAUUAGAUACCCUGGUAGUCCACACUGUAAACGAUGAUUACUCGCUGUUAUGCUGUAUAGUGUAGCGGCCAAGCGAAAGCGUUAAGUAAUCCACCUG
RNAcentral lists this ribosomal RNA (812 nucleotides) under uncultured Bacteroidota bacterium. RNAcentral's name for it is "bacterial SSU rRNA". It matches the Rfam family "Bacterial small subunit ribosomal RNA", at positions 64 to 875 of the family's 1533-position model. The record is from RNAcentral. Lineage: Bacteria; Pseudomonadati; Bacteroidota.